CAAGGAAUUUUCCCCAAUGGGCGCAAGCCUGAGGGAGCAACGCCGCGUGGAGGACGACGGCCUUCGGGUUGUAAACUCCUUUUGGGUGGGACGAUGGUGACGGUACCACCCGAAUCAGCCCCGGCUAACUCCGUGCCAGCAGCCGCGGUAAGACGGAGGGGGCAAGCGUUGUCCGGACUUACUGGGCGUAAAGCGUCCGUAGGCGGUCCUGUGCGUCGGUGCUGAAAGCGCCCGGCUCAACCGGGCGAGGUGCGCCGAUACGAUGGGACUAGAGGUCGGCAGAGGGGGGCGGAAUGCCGGGUGUAGUGGUGAAAUGCGUAGAGAUCCGGCGGAACGCCAGUGGCGCAAGCGGCCCCCUGGGCCGAUGCUGACGCUGAGGGACGAAAGCGUGGGGAGCGAACCGGAUUAGAUACCCGUGUAGUCC
This 424-nucleotide ribosomal RNA is filed under the name uncultured prokaryote. RNAcentral's name for it is "bacterial SSU rRNA". It matches the Rfam family "Bacterial small subunit ribosomal RNA", at positions 355 to 796 of the family's 1533-position model. The record is from RNAcentral.